UACGAAGGGGGCUAGCGUUGCUCGGAAUCACUGGGCGUAAAGGGCGCGUAGGCGGCCAUUCAAGUCGGGGGUGAAAGCCUGUGGCUCAACCACAGAAUUGCCUUCGAUACUGUUUGGCUUGAGUAUGGUAGAGGUUGGUGGAACUGCGAGUGUAGAGGUGAAAUUCGUAGAUAUUCGGAAGAACACCAGUGGCGAAGGCGGCUCACUGGACUGGUAUUGACGCUGAGGCACGAAAGCGUGGGGAGCAAACAGG
Molecule: ribosomal RNA, 253 nt
Filed under: uncultured bacterium
Lineage: Bacteria
Description: partial 16S ribosomal RNA
Rfam family: Bacterial small subunit ribosomal RNA
Source: RNAcentral